AACAAACCUAAAAUCAAUAUGAAAAACAGCCCCUUUUUUUCUCUUUUGAAUCUUUUCUCUUUUCUUUCUUUUUUUUUCUUUUUUUUGGGCUACCUCAAAAACUGAUUAUAUGAACAAAAGAAUACAAAAGAGCAAUUCGCUACACACACACUCUCUCUCUCUCUAGAGUAAGGCCGAACAAGUAUGGAGUUAUCUUUCUUUUUGGAUCACAGAAGGACUUCGCAACAGAUUCGACAGAGAGAAGAUAUGGUAAUACUCGGCUGUGUAUAGAUGGUGACAAGAACUCGAAACUCUAAAGGACUAGACACUAAGACCAGCAACUCGACACAAACCGAAGCAACGCAAAUUCAACAAGCCCUAACUAAAACGGUACUAGCCAAGGCACAAAGGUUUAAUAGGAUUAUGGAAAAACUAAUCUACUAUAUUUUUUUGGCUUUUCUGGACUAUAGGAAAUUAAUUAAAAACAGCAAAGGAUUAGAAGUCUCUCACCGAAGAACCUUGCUCUGAUUACCAAUUGAUGCGAACCCACUAGGGUUUUUGCCCGAUCUUUUGAUGAGAGACGGGGAUAACUCAAUUGGUGGAUGGAGAUGACGUUCACGGCCCGACUACAGCCCUCAAGACCGCGCCUUAGCAACCGAUACACCACGUCCAAUAGCCGCCACGAUCUUGUGGAGCGCGACAACCAGCCCCUAGGGCUCCCGUCCUGCAAGCAAUCGAAGAACUAGCAAGAACGAGGAAACAAGCACUGAAUUUGCAAGAUGAAUUGAAGGUUUCAAACUGAAUCGUAAUCAACAAU
RNAcentral lists this long non-coding RNA (796 nucleotides) under Sorghum bicolor (sorghum). Its description in RNAcentral is "long non-coding RNA (SBIC_LNC018677)". The record is from RNAcentral. Lineage: Eukaryota; Viridiplantae; Streptophyta; Magnoliopsida; Poales; Poaceae.